GAAUUCGCCCUUAGAGUUUGAUCCUGGCUCAGGACGAACGCUGGCGGCGCGCCUAACACAUGCAAGUCGAACGAGAGAUGAGGAGCUUGCUCUUCAAAUCGAGUGGCGAACGGGUGAGUAACGCGUGAGGAACCUGCCUCAAAGAGGGGGGACAACAGUUGGAAACGACUGCUAAUACCGCAUAAGCCCACAGCUCGGCAUCGAGCAGAGGGAAAAGGAGCAAUCCGCUUUGAGAUGGCCUCGCGUCCGAUUAGCUAGUUGGUGAGGUAAUGGCCCACCAAGGCGACGAUCGGUAGCCGGACUGAGAGGUUGAACGGCCACAUUGGGACUGAGACACGGCCCAGACUCCUACGGGAGGCAGCAGUGGGGAAUAUUGCACAAUGGGGGAAACCCUGAUGCAGCGACGCCGCGUGGAGGAAGAAGGUCUUCGGAUUGUAAACUCCUGUUGUUGAGGAAGAUAAUGACGGUACUCAACAAGGAAGUGACGGCUAACUACGUGCCAGCAGCCGCGGUAAAACGUAGGUCACAAGCGUUGUCCGGAAUUACUGGGUGUAAAGGGAGCGCAGGCGGGAGAACAAGUUGGAAGUGAAAUCCAUGGGCUCAACCCAUGAACUGCUUUCAAAACUGUUUUUCUUGAGUAGUGCAGAGGUAGGCGGAAUUCCCGGUGUAGCGGUGGAAUGCGUAGAUAUCGGGAGGAACACCAGUGGCGAAGGCGGCCUACUGGGCACCAACUGACGCUGAGGCUCGAAAGUGUGGGUAUCAAACAGGAUUAGAUACCCUGGUAGUCCACACAGUAAACGAUGAAUACUAGGGGUCGGGGCCGUAGAGGCUUCGGUGCCGCAG
Molecule: ribosomal RNA, 843 nt
Filed under: uncultured bacterium
Lineage: Bacteria
Description: bacterial SSU rRNA
Rfam family: Bacterial small subunit ribosomal RNA
Source: RNAcentral